Brassica napus (rape) is the source of this 127-nucleotide non-coding RNA. NCBI's taxonomy places the organism in Eukaryota, Viridiplantae, Streptophyta, Magnoliopsida, Brassicales, Brassicaceae. The record is from Rfam.
GAAAUUUAUAAGAACCCGUCUCUUAAUUUUUAACUAAAAAAACUAAGAAUCAGCUCUUAAAUAAAAGUUUUACGAGACGGUUCUUAGCUUUUUUAGUUAAAAGUUAAGAGACAGGUUCUUAUAUUUC